GAUGAACGCUGGCGGCGUGCUUAACACAUGCAAGUCGAACGAUGAAGCCCGGCUUGCCGGGUGGAUUAGUGGCGAACGGGUGAGUAACACGUGAGUAACCUGCCCUUAACUCUGGGAUAAGCCUGGGAAACUGGGUCUAAUACCGGAUAGGAGCGUCCACCGCAUGGUGGGUGUUGGAAAGAUUUAUCGGUUUUGGAUGGACUCGCGGCCUAUCAGCUUGUUGGUGAGGUAAUGGCUCACCAAGGCGACGACGGGUAGCCGGCCUGAGAGGGUGACCGGCCACACUGGGACUGAGACACGGCCCAGACUCCUACGGGAGGCAGCAGUGGGGAAUAUUGCACAAUGGGCGCAAGCCUGAUGCAGCGACGCCGCGCGAGGGAUGACGGCCUUCGGGUUGUAAACCUCUUUCAGUAGGGAAGAAGCGAAAGUGACGGUACCUGCAGAAGAAGCACCGGCUAACUACGUG
RNAcentral lists this ribosomal RNA (466 nucleotides) under uncultured bacterium. Its description in RNAcentral is "partial 16S ribosomal RNA". It matches the Rfam family "Bacterial small subunit ribosomal RNA", at positions 28 to 507 of the family's 1533-position model. The record is from RNAcentral.